CCUACGGGGCGCAGCAGUGGGGAAUAUUGGACAAUGGGCGAAAGCCUGAUCCAGCCAUGCCGCGUGUGUGAAGAAGGCCUUCGGGUUGUAAAGCACUUUCAGUGGGGAAGAAAGCCUUGGGGCUAAUACCCUCGAGGAAGGACAUCACCCACAGAAGAAGCACCGGCUAACUCCGUGCCAGCAGCCGCGGGAAUACGGAGGGUGCGAGCGUUAAUCGGAAUUACUGGGCGUAAAGCGCGCGUAGGCGGUCUGAUAAGCCGGUUGUGAAAGCCCCGGGCUCAACCUGGGAACGGCAUCCGGAACUGUCAGGCUAGAGUGCAGGAGAGGAAGGUAGAAUUCCCGGUGUAGCGGUGAAAUGCGUAGAGAUCGGGAGGAAUACCAGUGGCGAAGGCGGCCUUCUGGACUGACACUGACGCUGAGGUGCGAAAGCGUGGGUAGCAAACAGGAUUAGAUACCCUAGUAGUC
Molecule: ribosomal RNA, 465 nt
Filed under: Vreelandella stevensii
Lineage: Bacteria; Pseudomonadati; Pseudomonadota; Gammaproteobacteria; Oceanospirillales; Halomonadaceae
Description: partial 16S ribosomal RNA
Rfam family: Bacterial small subunit ribosomal RNA
Source: RNAcentral